Molecule: long non-coding RNA, 920 nt
Organism: Pseudophryne corroboree (corroboree frog)
Lineage: Eukaryota; Metazoa; Chordata; Amphibia; Anura; Myobatrachidae
Exons: 4
Source: RefSeq, a predicted model, not a curated record
UUUGCACAGAAGUCACCCCUGUGUUGGCUCCGUCCGGCAGGUCCGGUCUCCUUGGUUACGGAGUCUCCGUGGUUACUAGGCAACGAUGCAAGGGGCUCGAGCUCACGUCACAGCUGUGGCCCACGUGACCGGAACUCAGAGCAGCCGCGGCUUCCGGCCUCGGGACGCCGGCUGGCGGGAGCGCACGGGGAGGACCUCACAAGUAUUCAGGGGACAACUGUGCCAAGAUCGCCUCAUGUGUAGCCACAAAAACACCAUCUGAAGUGGAAAAGAUCAUUACCCGGCAUGUGGGUGGAUGCAGCCAGGUGAUAACUGGUAGUGAUGUAAAACAGAGAAGUUAGCAGAUAAUCUGUGUGUUCUGUCAGCACUGGGAUGUGAAAAACAGCAUGCUGUGCGCUAAAUAAUCAACAUUUCAGGAGGUACAAGAAGAGAUUCACAGGCAUUACAGCCAAACCCAGGAAUCAAGGGAAUGACAGGUUUACAAGACAAAGUACUAUAGCACUGGCAGUAAAACCCAUCACAGUCUGCAGUACGUGGUCCCCGAGCACAAGUGUAUCAGUGACUUGUAAGUUUGAAAGGAAUAUCAUUGACUCAGCUACUUUAGAGACCUUCUCCCCUCUGCAGCCAGGAACUACUAGCCAGGGAGGCUAAUUGGAGAGUAGCUGGCAGCCUCAUAGGUAAUGCAAGCUCUGUGCACCAAGAUGACACACCAUUAAAAGCAGAUGGAGCAAUCUUCCAGGAUAUCUCUAGCACCCCACUAGGAAUAGUGACAGUCACAUGCGUAAUUAAGCCGUAGAUUUAAACUAGGUUCAGUGACUAUGUAUGCUUUAUGUACUGCCUAAUUUAACAUUGUGAACAAUUAGUAAUGAAAGACGAGAACUACUGCUAGAAAAACGCUAAAUGUGUUAGCUAUGAGUGAU